RNAcentral lists this ribosomal RNA (229 nucleotides) under uncultured eukaryote. RNAcentral describes it as "partial 18S ribosomal RNA". It matches the Rfam family "Eukaryotic small subunit ribosomal RNA", at positions 1208 to 1456 of the family's 1831-position model. The record is from RNAcentral.
UGAAAUCUCACCAGGCCCGGACACUGGAAGGAUUGACAGAUUGAUAGCUCUUUCUUGAUUCGGUGCGUGGUGGUGCAUGGCCGUUCUUAGUUGGUUGAGUGAUUUGUCUUGUUAAUUCCGAUAACGAACGAGACUCUGUCCUGCUAAAUAGUGUCUGCUUCUCUUUCAAGCAGACAAUUCUUCUUAGAGGGACUAUAUGUGUUAAGCAUAUGGAAGUUUGAGGCAAUAA